UGGACCAGUGAUGAGAAAGUGUUUAUGAACAAAAAAUCGUGAUUAAUCCAGUUCUGUGCAAAAUACUGAGGUCCAUU
Molecule: small nucleolar RNA, 77 nt
Filed under: Rhinolophus ferrumequinum (greater horseshoe bat)
Lineage: Eukaryota; Metazoa; Chordata; Mammalia; Chiroptera; Rhinolophidae
Description: Small nucleolar RNA SNORD112 (ENSRFEG00010005226.1)
Rfam family: Small nucleolar RNA SNORD112
Source: Rfam by way of RNAcentral